RNAcentral lists this long non-coding RNA (288 nucleotides) under Physcomitrium patens. RNAcentral describes it as "long non-coding RNA (PPAT_LNC001561)". Lineage: Eukaryota; Viridiplantae; Streptophyta; Bryopsida; Funariales; Funariaceae. The record is from RNAcentral.
UGCUAGUUUUCAUCUUUAUUUCUGCGUCAUGGUACUAUGGGUGUUGCCUCAAUGUUUACCAUUUCAUGGUGAACAUUUCUGAGAAAAAGUGAUAACGGCUGCUAAUGAUAAGGAAAGAGAGAUGAAAACUAGGAAAACUUGUAGCCGAUUAUUUUGUUUUUUCACCCCCCAUUUUCUGAGGUGGAUCGACUGCAGUACUGCUGCAGCCUCUUCUUCUUCUUCUUCGUCUUCUUAUUUCGUUCAGCUGAUUGUUUCUCUGAAAUCAAGCUGCACUGUUUUCGUGUAGUU